CCAUACAAAAUGUAUGUAUGUAAAACUGCGUCACAAAAGUGACCUUUUUUCGACGAUUGGUUCAUGUCAGAGCGCUGCUUCCUUACAGCUCAGCCUUCGGCGUCGCUUUUUAAGAAAUAUCAAUAUUGAUUUCAGUAGCUUGGCCUCGCAUGAAAGCUCACUUCGCUAAAAGACGCUUCGGGCUUGUCAAGCAAUGCGGAGAUUGCUGAGCUCGAUCUUCACUUCAGUCUCACUUUUUACCUCAAUUUACCAUUGGUUUGUGUUCCUCAUCUCCUCUACUUCAGCUUAGGCUUUGGCCUCGCUGCGCCUAGCUGGGCCUGCAGUCUCGCUUUUUAAUACAAUGGAAUUUGGUUCGUGUCUUUGCUCAACUAUGUACUUAUCCUGAAGCCUGAAGCACGGCUUUGACUUCGCGGCAUGAAAGCUCGCCUCACUUCGGACUUUUAGGCCCAGGUGAAGAUCGGUACCCGGCCUGGCCUUUUAAGAGGCUUUCACAAUUUGCGAUAUUGUUAAUAAAAAUUUCGCGCUCGCUUCGCUCGCGUUUUUUGGUUGACCCUUUAUCUACAUGUUAGCUUGACUGGUAAAUGAAUACAAUUAGACCACGAAAAGUCUGCAAUGAUUUUGAUAGGAUACGCAGUGCAAGUGUUAUUUAUACGUCAUAAUUUCAUAGCAGUUUGACGUUUAAAAUAACACUUGCACUGCGUGUGCUAUCAAAAUCGUUGCAGACUUAUCUUAGUCUAACUCUAAUAAUUUUAAUAUAUGGAAAUUAUUUAUUACUAGGUUGAUUCUAAUCAUGUGGCUCGGCGUUUUGUCUUAUGGUCGGACAAUCGUUGUUCAGUCUCGCAAAAUUAAGCGUAGCCUCGCUUAAAAUUUGCCAUUGUUGUCGCUUAAAAUUUGUUAGAUAGGAAAGUGACGCUCAAGCUCACAGCUUCAGUAUUCCACUGGGGAUUGGCCUAAAGGGCUCUUCCUACACUUGACGCAACGCGGAAUCGGCAAAAAUUGAUAGAAAAAAGCUUUAUGUCCAAGCAAUAAGAGCGAAAAAGACAUCGUUCUGACUAGACUCGGAUCGUCUCGGCUGAAGAUUGAAAUUAAAAACGCAAACUUAUUUCCUUUCCUUAUUUCUCCUUUCCUUAUUUAACUGAACAACUGAACAUGCUGUAUACAGAAUUGACUGUAGGGGGCCCCGAGCCUUGCACUGCCUAGGGGCCCCGACAUGCUUAAUCCGGCCCUGCUUACACAAUAGUUUUUUCUUCGCAAGUGUGUUGAAAAAUAUUGUGUGUAACUCUGUGGGUAAAAAUAUUGCAAACUCGAGCCUGCGGCUGUCGCGAAUUAACAACCUCGUUUCCAAUAUUUCACUUACCCCCGUCGUUACACAAUGUACUAUUAUAUUAAGAAAAUGGCCUAUUAUCGUAUACUUGCUGUAUGUAACUGUAACUCGAAUAUGUGCACACUAAAUUAAUUUAGCUACAAUAGGACCGUAGUUUCUUAAAAACAAAUGGUGUCUACAUAUAACUUAUUUCUAUUGAAUAUAUGUAGGUGAGCUAUUUUAUUUAAAAUAGUACAAACCACUUUAAUAACUUGAAAAUAUUAUGUUAUUUCUGCCCAGAAUAUACUUCCUUUGAUUCUAAAUAUUCUUAUAGAAGUCUCAAGAUUUUUUUUCAUUCCGCUACCAUUUUUCACAGACUUGUAUGAGGAAGACGCAAUGUAUACGCAAACGUAAUCAAUGGGAAAUUUUGGGACACUUUUCUCCUAUCAAGAUCGAAAGAGCGCAUAAUACUAAGUGGCAAAAAUAAUAAUAAUAAAAAAAUGGUGUAGAUAUCUGUGUACAAUUUUAAAUAAAAUCGGCCAGGUUUCAUUUAGUAAAUUAGUUAUUAAAUCAUGUACCUACCUAUUAACUAAGAUUUUUUUCGCUUACAAUAGUAAAUGAGCACAAAUAUAUAGUUCACAGCGCCGUAAAACCAAAACAAAAGAUUAGUAAAAACGAAUUUAACGGUGUUCAAUAUAAGUGUAUUGACUAGUUACUGUUAGAAAAAAAGACAUCAACGUGCAACGCAACCUUCAAUGAAUGACCUUGUACUGCAAUUCUUAUUUUACUAGGUUAAAAUUAACAUAAUAAUUUACAGUAGCAUGCUUGUCUUGUAUAAUACAGAUCAUCUUGAAAUACUUAAGUAGUGUGUUUGUAUUUACUUAAAUACUAAAUACUAACUUUAUCAAAUAAAAUAACAUUCACAAAUAAUUCAAAACAGCCAAUAAAAUACAUAGAUAUUAUGUAAACCUAAAACGAAUACGAUGCAUUAGGUUUAUUGCCAUUUUCUUCUGUCAUGUGUAAACGACCGACGAUGACUAAUACAAUAUUAUAGUUAUAGGCACCACGUAUAUAACGCGCGCAAGUUAUUUCGGCGAUACCUACACAAUGUUAGUUAACGCAAAGUUCAAAGGUAUGUACACUUAGGGUCAGUGUUUGUUUAUUUACAAAACAAGUAUUUAUUUGUUUAUUUGAGUAACUGACCCGAUGUACCAAAGAGUAUAAAAGAUAAGCUAAAUUAAAUAUGUAUUUCAUUGUG
Long non-coding RNA from Cydia splendana, 2561 nucleotides. RefSeq lists it as uncharacterized. The record is from RefSeq and is a predicted model, not a curated record. Lineage: Eukaryota; Metazoa; Arthropoda; Insecta; Lepidoptera; Tortricidae. The transcript has 2 exons.